AGCGAACGCUGGCGGCAGGCUUAACACAUGCAAGUCGAGCGGGCAUCCUUGUGGUGUCCGCGGCAGACGGGUGAGUAACGCGUGGGAACGUGCCCUUCGGUUCGGAAUAACUCAGGGAAACUUGAGCUAAUACCGGAUACGUGCGAGAGCAGAAAGGUUUAUCUGCCGAAGGAUCGGCCCGCGUCUGAUUAGCUAGUUGGUGAGGUUAUGGCUCACCAAGGCGACGAUCAGUAGCUGGUCUGAGAGGAUGAUCAGCCACACUGGGACUGAGACACGGCCCAGACUCCUACGGGAGGCAGCAGUGGGGAAUAUUGGACAAUGGGGGCAACCCUGAUCCAGCCAGGCCGCGUGAGUGAUGACGGCCUUAGGGUUGUAAAGCUCUUUUCUCCGGGACGAUAAUGACGGUACCGGAGGAAUAAGCCCCGGCUAACUUCGUG
RNAcentral lists this ribosomal RNA (437 nucleotides) under uncultured bacterium. Its description in RNAcentral is "partial 16S ribosomal RNA". It matches the Rfam family "Bacterial small subunit ribosomal RNA", at positions 29 to 507 of the family's 1533-position model. The record is from RNAcentral.